GAAAGGGGAGAGUUCUUCAAGCUCUAGUAUGGAAAACAAUUUUGAAGUAGAUGAUCUUGUAUUUUUUGGUAGGAAUGAUUUUGGCAUUAUUAUUGGCAAGGAGAAAGAUGAUAGCUUUAAGAUCAUGAAAUAUGGAUCAGAGAGACCUGUGGUAGUGAGCGUUCAACUGCGUGAAUUGAAGCGUGCAUCUUUUGAUAAGAAGCUAUUCACUGUGAAAGAUCAGCUAACUAAUGUCAUUUCAAUUGGUGAUGUGGUUAGAGUUUUGGAUGGUUCCUUGAAGGAUAAACAAGGAUCGGUGAAGCAGAUUUACAGAGGUGUCGUCUUUCUAUAUGACCAAAGUGAACAGGAUAAUAAUGGUUAUCUCUGUGUCAAAGGUCAGAUGUGUGAAAGAAUUGCAAGCAGUGGUGGUGUAUUGAACGGGAAGGGAAGUGAACCCGGUCCCUCAGGUUUAGCAGAUUUCUCAUCAUCACCUAAAUCCCCUCUUUCGCCUGAGAAAUCUUGGAGAGCGAAGGAUGAUAAUAAUAGCUUCAAGCGCGGGGAUGACAAUGAAAUGUUUUCAGUUGGGCAGUCUCUGAGAAUCCGAGUGGGGCCUUUGAAGGGAUACCUUUGUCGUGUAAUAGCCAUACGACGUUCUGAUGUUACAGUAAAGCUUGAUUCCCAGCAAAAAAUUCUUACAGUCAAAUCUGAACAUCUUGCGGAAGUUCAUGCAAAGAGUUCUGUCGUAUCUCUUGGGGUCGAUGGUGACUCAUCAAAACCUUUUGACCUGCUUGGAACAAAGGAUGGUUCUGAUGAUUGGAUGGUUCAAGGGGCUACUGCCACCGAGGGUAACACCGGGAAUGCAUCAUGGGGUGCAUCUGGAGGUAGUGAUAGAACUGUUGCUGACUCUGGGCAAGAUGAUGGUUGGGCGAAAGCUACUUCUGCUGCUGCUGCCACUAGUGGUGCGUCUGAUGGCUGGGGCAAAAAGGUUGAAUCACAUCAAGAGAGCACUGAGAAGGUUACAGAUGGUUCCUGGGGCAGUUCUGUGCAAAAACAAGGGAAUAAUGAUGAUUCUGGAAAAACCUCAUGGGGCAAGCAGGACGGUGGAUCUUCUUGGGGUAAGCAA
RNAcentral lists this unclassified non-coding RNA (1102 nucleotides) under Hevea brasiliensis (rubber tree). The record is from RNAcentral. Lineage: Eukaryota; Viridiplantae; Streptophyta; Magnoliopsida; Malpighiales; Euphorbiaceae.